UACAGAGGUGGCAAGCGUUGUUCGGAUUUAUUGGGCGUAAAGGGUCCGUAGGCGGUUUGAAAAGUCAGAUGUGAAAUCCCACGGCUCAACCGUGGAAGUGCACUCGAAACUGCGUAGCUAGAGUCCUGGAGAGGAAGGUGGAAUGCUUGGCGUAGAGGUGAAAUUCGUAGAUAUCAAGCGGAACACCGGUGGCGAAGGCGGCCUUCUGGACAGUGGCUGACGCUGAGACGCGAAAGCGUGGGGAGCAAACAGG
This 253-nucleotide ribosomal RNA is filed under the name uncultured bacterium. RNAcentral's name for it is "partial 16S ribosomal RNA". It matches the Rfam family "Bacterial small subunit ribosomal RNA", at positions 524 to 776 of the family's 1533-position model. The record is from RNAcentral.